CCCACCUCCGCCUCCUCCUCCUCCCCUUCCCCCUCCCCCGUUCCCGAGCCCCUCGCAGCCCGCGGGAGCAGCGGGGAUGGAGCCGGGACAGGUCGGGAUGGGCAGCGCGGGGCUCUCGGCUGCUCCCACCCGCUGGGGGCGGGGCAACCCGGCCCGGGGAAAGGAGAGGGAAACUGGGAACAUUGGGAGCUGCACAUCCAAACUGGGCCUUGCUGGGGACCCUGGGUGGGGACUUGCAGCCCUUGGGGCUCCUCUCGGAGCCUGGAGAGCCGGGAGGGGGAACGCAGAGAGGGCUGGGGGAUCCCAGGAGUGGCAUCACUGGCAGUCACUGCUUUGUACUGGGAUCGUACUGAGAUCAUACUGGCAGUGACUGGGCUGUACUGGGAUCGUACUGACAUCAUACUGGGAGUAGCUGGGCCCAUGCCAGGGGAGACUGCAAUCACACUGAGGGAGACUGGAAUCAUACUGGGAUCAUACUGGGAGUGAGUAGGAGCCUUUGGGGGGCAAUUGAGACCAUGCUGGGGGCAAAUGGGAUACCCUGGGAGUGACUGGAAUCAUGCUGAGGGUGACUGGGAGCAGCUGGGAGCAACUGGGAUCAUGCUACGAGCAACUGGGAGUGACUGGGUGCAUGCUGGGGGUGACUGGAAGCAACUGGGCUUCUACUGUGAUGAACUGGGAUAAUGCUGGAGGUGACUGGGAUCAGACUGGCAGUGAGUGUGACUACACUGAGGCUGACUGGGAGUGGUUGUAAGCAAAUGGGAUCAUGCUGGAAGUUACUGGGAGGAAUUUGGAGUGACUGGAAAAAAAGUGAGGGUGAAAGAGAGCCACUGGAAUCUGUGGGGGGCAACUGGUUCAUACUGGCAGUGACUGGGAGCACACUGGGGUCAUAUUUGGAUCCUGUUGGGAGUGACUGGACUAAUACUGGGAGUAUCUGAGAGUGACUGGGAAACACAGCAUGCAUAUCAUCCCCCAUACUGGGGGUGACUGGGAGCAACUGGGAGCACACUGGGAGCAAAUGGCAUCAUACUGGGACUGACUGGGUUGAUCUAGGAAGCAACUGGAACCAUGGUGGAGGCAACUGGGACCAUACUGGGAGUGCUGGCAUGCGACUGGGAUCAUACUGGAGGUUACUGAGAUCAUAUUGGUGUUGUAAAGGAGCAACUGGGAUCACACUUUGGGCUACUGGGAGCAACCGAGAGAAACUGGGAUGAUGCUGCAAGCAAACUGGAGUAACUGGGAAGGACUGGAUGCAUGCUGGAGGCAACUGGGAUAUACUGGGUGUGACUGGUCUCCCCACGGUGCAGGUGGUUUCCAGCUGUGACCUGUCCAAUGGAGUGUCCAUGGAUCCCACUGGCACGGCUACGAUGGGUGGGAUUUCAUCUCCUUCCAGCUGGGAUCCAGGAGCUUUGCAGUGUCUGACGAUGCCACCUGGAUCCCCCAGAGGUGCUGGGAAUCCAAAGGGAUCCUGCCAGAGCAGAUGAAGCAUUACCUGGGACACACCUGUGUGGAAGAGCUCCCAAAAUACAUCAGAUGUGGUUGGGAGGCUCUGGAGCACAAA
Molecule: long non-coding RNA, 1558 nt
Organism: Corvus hawaiiensis (hawaiian crow)
Lineage: Eukaryota; Metazoa; Chordata; Aves; Passeriformes; Corvidae
Exons: 2
Source: RefSeq, a predicted model, not a curated record